This is a non-coding RNA of Chrysemys picta bellii (western painted turtle), 773 nucleotides long. NCBI's taxonomy places the organism in Eukaryota, Metazoa, Chordata, Testudines, Emydidae. The record is from RefSeq and is a predicted model, not a curated record.
GAAGAAGAUAUUGAACAGAACUGGACCUAGAACUGAGUCCUGAGGAACCCCACUUGAUAUGCCCUUCCAGGUUGACUGUGAACCACUGACAACUACUCUCUGAGAAUGCUUUUCCAACCACUUAUACACCCACCCUAUAGUAGCUCCACCUAGAUUGUAUUUCCCUAGUUUGUUUAUGAGAAGGUCAUGUGAGACAGUAUCAAAAGCCUUACUAAGAUAUACCACAUCUACCACUCCCCCCACAUCCAUAAGGCUUGUUACCCUGUCAAAGAAAGCUAUUAGGUUGGUUUGACAUGAUUGGUUCUUGACAAUCCACGCUGACUGUUCCUUAUCACCUUAUUAUCUUCUAGGUGUCUGCAAGCUGAUUGGGUAAUUAUUUGCUCCAUUUUUUUCUGGGUACUGAAAUUUGUAGUAAGUGAGUAAUGCCUACAUACUGAAGCAAAGGCUGCAGCCAGGAAGAGGCCAUUUAAAGAUUUCUCUUAGCAUUUUGUUUUUUCUCCAUUUUUCAAAUCAUUUUGCCAUUUUGCUCUAUUUUUGAACAGGUUACAGAAUUAAGAACACUGCAGGAAACUGAAAGCUGCAACAAAGCCAUAGGUUACAUGCAGAAGGAUGAAUGAAGGAGACCUGCUGAAGAUAGCAUGGCAGGAGAAGGUGGUGAGAAAGAGACCCCCAAGAAAGUGAUGGAUGGAUUGCAUCAGAGAAAAUGGAUCUUAGUGCAGCCUUGGACAAACAAAGGGAUGGAUAAGCACACUAAGAAGAAGAAACUAUCCAGA